Molecule: unclassified non-coding RNA, 1625 nt
Filed under: Leishmania donovani
Lineage: Eukaryota; Euglenozoa; Kinetoplastea; Trypanosomatida; Trypanosomatidae
Description: gene:LdHU3.34.2470(CDS-product:p25-alpha_putative )
Source: RNAcentral
CGGUGCUCAACAUAAACAUACUAAUGUGCUACCCACAGCGUCGUGUGGCUGCCACAAGCCCUUCCUCUGCUCCCCCCUCUCUCCUCUCCACACUACACACACAGGCACAGGCAUACCGAAGCAACAGCUGAACGGGGACAACAUAGUCGUGCUUGUUUCAGACCAAACGACCGCCUCCCUGUUUUUCUUCGUCCUUCUUCACGGAUCAAUGGCUGAUCUUCAGAUCCCUUUGAAUCCCUCGCGUCCUUCGGCAGCGCGCCGUCGAAGGAAAUGGACAACUCGCACUUCUCCAAAAUGCUGAAGGAGUGCAAGAUCAUUGGCAAGAGCUUCACGUCGACGGACGCCGACCUGCUCUUCAGCAAGGUGAAGGCGAAGGAAGCACGCAAAAUCAGCUUCACGGAGUUCAAGGAAAAGGCUAUUCCCGAGAUCGCAGCCAAGAUGAAGAAGACCCCUGCUGACAUCGAGGUCAUGAUAGCCAACGCCGCCCCCAAGUCCAGCGGCACCAAGGCCGACACGGUGCGUUUCCAUGAUGAUAAAAGCACCUACACCGGUGCUGCAAAGCAGGGCGGCCCGACAAACGUGGACCGAAACGCCGGCUCGCUCGCAGGUGUCGUGGACCGUCGCCAGGAGACAAUCGACAACCGCGGCACCACUGCGUAUAAAAAUGUGAAGCACCAAACGGCGAGUACAUGUGAUUAAGUUCAGCGCACAGGCGUUUGCAGUCCGUGGGAAAGACGGCGAUGCUGCAUGCAGCGGCGAAGAGAUGGUAUUGUGUACUGCCGAAGUUGGUGAUUGCCAGCUGCGAAGAGGAGCGCAAUUAUUCUACCCUGCGGGGGGGUGCGGCUGCUGGGUUGGGCGUACACUCCGCCGCUCCAUCUCUCUCUGUGCUCCCUCUCAGCCGCUUCAAACUUAUACGUCCUCAAAACAGCUGAGACGCACCUUUGUAUCAUGCAGGUCGAGUGACAUGUCUGCGGCCGGCGGUGAAGUGUUUACAAGAGUUGCGCGUCCACGGCGCUGAGGGACUCGAAACCAGAGGCAUGUGAGACAGACUGCUUUGCCGCGCUGUUCGACAGCAACGGCAGUGUCCUCCAAGAUGAUCUGACAGCGGUGGGAGACCGCCGGCAAUGCCCUCCGACCAACCGCUCCCUCUUCUUUUUAUUCGUUUUUUUUUCUUCGCUUCGAUGGUGUUGUAAAGCGGUCGAGUUGGGCACCGCGUCGUCGCGCAUCCGUCUUCACCACUCCCCUCCUGCGUGAAAAGGCCGUUCUCUUUCAAACGUUUUUGUUCGGGUGGUGGCGGUGGUGAUGGGGUGAUGUCUGACUCUCUCUUUUCGUACUUCACAUGUAUGUCUUCCUGUGCGUUCACGUAUACCUCACUGUUGACUGUGAUGUUUCUUUGUUGUUGUUCUCGUCGCUUGACCUUCGUUGUCUUCAGCAAACAUGUCGCUUCUCUGUCUCUAUGUCUCUCCUUCAUCGUUGUUUUUUGCUAUUCACAUGUUGUUUGUCCUUCGGGCUCACCUUAAACGCAAACACACACACUCCCCCUCCCCCUUCUUUGCUGUGCCUGGAAUGUGUCCUCUCCUUCUGGGUCUUCCCACGCCAGCCUUAUUUCCUCUUUAUGCUUUUCC